RNAcentral lists this non-coding RNA (353 nucleotides) under uncultured Helotiales. Its description in RNAcentral is "partial 18S ribosomal RNA". The stretch from base 26 to 313 matches the Rfam family "Group I catalytic intron". Rfam says of the family: Group I catalytic introns are large self-splicing ribozymes. They catalyse their own excision from mRNA, tRNA and rRNA precursors in a wide range of organisms. The record is from RNAcentral. Lineage: Eukaryota; Fungi; Ascomycota; Leotiomycetes; Helotiales.
GGUUUUGCUAAGCACAGUCCUUCUGUAGCAGAGCUUAACGGAGACCUUGCACCCGAGAGGGAGGAGGCGACUAUAAACAAGUCCUAGUGCAAGUCAGCGCUGCUGGCAACACAAUCGAAUUGCGGGGACGCUUUAAAGCUCAGUGGUACCAACUCUCCGGGCCCCGGAGGGGGCGGGCAGUGCCCGAGGUCAGAACCCACUGAGAUGUACAAUAAGCAAUCUGCAGCGGUCCGUUUUCGACCGCUCACAGACUAAGUGGUUGUGGGGAGCCUGGCUCCUUAAGAUAUAGUCGGGCCCGGUGAGCAGUCACCGGGAGUUCUGCGUCCGUAGGUGAACCUGCGGAAGGAUCAUUA